RNAcentral lists this transfer RNA (72 nucleotides) under Riverina rivularis. RNAcentral describes it as "Hildenbrandia rivularis tRNA-Thr". It matches the Rfam family "tRNA". From Rfam's summary of the family: Transfer RNA (tRNA) molecules are approximately 80 nucleotides in length. Their secondary structure includes four short double-helical elements and three loops (D, anti-codon, and T loops). The record is from RNAcentral. Lineage: Eukaryota; Rhodophyta; Florideophyceae; Hildenbrandiales; Hildenbrandiaceae.
GCCUUUAUAGCUUAAAGGAAGAGCAUCUUCAUGGUAGGAAGAAGGUUGCGGGUUCGAUUCUCGCUAAAGGCU